This 492-nucleotide ribosomal RNA is filed under the name uncultured bacterium. RNAcentral's name for it is "partial 16S ribosomal RNA". It matches the Rfam family "Bacterial small subunit ribosomal RNA", at positions 29 to 507 of the family's 1533-position model. The record is from RNAcentral.
AGUGAACGCUGGCGGUAGGCCUAACACAUGCAAGUCGAACGGCAGCACAGUAAGAGCUUGCUCUUACGGGUGGCGAGUGGCGGACGGGUGAGGAAUACAUCGGAAUCUACUUUUUCGUGGGGGAUAACGUAGGGAAACUUACGCUAAUACCGCAUACGACCUACGGGUGAAAGCAGGGGAUCUUCGGACCUUGCGCGAUUGAAUGAGCCGAUGUCGGAUUAGCUAGUUGGUGGGGUAAAGGCCCACCAAGGCGACGAUCCGUAGCUGGUCUGAGAGGAUGAUCAGCCACACUGGAACUGAGACACGGUCCAGACUCCUACGGGAGGCAGUAGUGGGGAAUAUUGGACAAUGGGCGCAAGCCUGAUCCAGCCAUACCGCGUGGGUGAAGAAGGCCUUCAGGUUGUAAAGCCCUUUUGUUGGGAAAGAAAAGCAGCAGGUUAAUACCCCGCUGUUCUGACGGUACCCAAAGAAUAAGCACCGGCUAACUUCGUG